Molecule: ribosomal RNA, 460 nt
Filed under: uncultured bacterium
Lineage: Bacteria
Description: partial 16S ribosomal RNA
Rfam family: Bacterial small subunit ribosomal RNA
Source: RNAcentral
CCUACGGGAGGCAGCAGUGAGGAAUAUUGGUCAAUGGGCUUACGCCUGAACCAGCCAAGUCGCGUGAGGGAAGACUGCCCUAUGGGUUGUAAACCUCUUUUGUCAGGGAGCAAUUGGCGCUACGUGUAGCGUUAUCGAGAGUACCUGAAGAAAAAGCAUCGGCUAACUCCGUGCCAGCAGCCGCGGUAAUACGGAGGAUGCGAGCGUUAUCCGGAUUUAUUGGGUUUAAAGGGUGCGUAGGCGGAAUGCCAAGUCAGCGGUAAAAUCGCGGGGCUCAACCUCGCUCCGCCGUUGAAACUGGCGGUCUUGAGUGGGCGAGAGGUAUGCGGAAUGCGUGGUGUAGCGGUGAAAUGCAUAGAUAUCACGCAGAACUCCGAUUGCGAAGGCAGCAUACCGGCGCCCAACUGACGCUGAAGCACGAAAGCGUGGGUAUCGAACAGGAUUAGAUACCCUAGUAGUC